UGUUAAUAUUCCUGUACUUCUGGUUACUGCGAUGGAGGGACGGAGAAGGCUAGGCCAGCUUGGCGUUGGUUGUCCAAGUUUAAGGUGGUAGGCUGAAAUCUUAGGUAAAUCCGGGGUUUCAAGGCCGAGAGCUGAUGACGAGUCGUCUUUUAGAUGACGAAGUGGUUGAUGCCAUGCUUCCAAGAAAAGCUUCUAAGCUUCAGGUAACCAGGAACCGUACCCCAAACCGACACAGGUGGUCGGGUAGAGAAUACCAAGGCGCUUGAGAGAACUCGGGUGAAGGAACUAGGCAAAAUGGCACCGUAACUUCGGGAGAAGGUGCGCCGGCUAGGGUGAAGGAUUUACCCCGUAAGCUCUGGCUGGUCGAAGAUACCAGGCCGCUGCGACUGUUUAUUAAAAACACAGCACUCUGCAAACACGAAAGUGGACGUAUAGGGUGUGACGCCUGCCCGGUGCCGGAAGGUUAAUUGAUGGGGUUAGCGCAAGCGAAGCUCUUGAUCGAAGCCCCGGUAAACGGCGGCCGUAACUAUAACGGUCCUAAGGUAGCGAAAUUCCUUGUCGGGUAAGUUCCGACCUGCACGAAUGGCGUAACGAUGGCGGCGCUGUCUCCACCCGAGACUCAGUGAAAUUGAAAUCGCUGUGAAGAUGCAGUGUAUCCGCGGCUAGACGGAAAGACCCCGUGAACCUUUACUGUAGCUUUGCACUGGACUUUGAGCCUGCUCGUGUAGGAUAGGUGGGAGGCUUUGAAGCGUGGACGCCAGUUCGCGUGGAGCCAUCCUUGAAAUACCACCCUGGCAUGCUUGAGGUUCUAACUCUGGUCCGUAAUCCGGAUCGAGGACAGUGUAUGGUGGGCAGUUUGACUGGGGCGGUCUCCUCCUAAAGAGUAACGGAGGAGUACGAAGGUGCGCUCAGACCGGUCGGAAAUCGGUCGCAGAGUAUAAAGGCAAAAGCGCGCUUGACUGCGAGACAGACACGUCGAGCAGGUACGAAAGUAGGUCUUAGUGAUCCGGUGGUUCUGUAUGGAAGGGCCAUCGCUCAACGGAUAAAAGGUACUCCGGGGAUAACAGGCUGAUACCGCCCAAGAGUUCAUAUCGACGGCGGUGUUUGGCACCUCGAUGUCGGCUCAUCACAUCCUGGGGCUGAAGCCGGUCCCAAGGGUAUGGCUGUUCGCCAUUUAAAGUGGUACGCGAGCUGGGUUUAGAACGUCGUGAGACAGUUCGGUCCCUAUCUGCCGUGGACGUUUGAGAUUUGAGAGGGGCUGCUCCUAGUACGAGAGGACCGGAGUGGACGAACCUCUGGUGUUCCGGUUGUCACGCCAGUGGCAUUGCCGGGUAGCUAUGUUCGGAAAAGAUAACCGCUGAAAGCAUCUAAGCGGGAAACUUGCCUCAAGAUGAGAUCUCACUGGGAACUUGAUUCCCCUGAAGGGCCGUCGAAGACUACGACGUUGAUAGGCUGGGUGUGUAAGCGUUGUGAGGCGUUGAGCUAACCAGUACUAAUUGCCCGUGAGGCUUGACC
Molecule: ribosomal RNA, 1515 nt
Filed under: metagenome
Description: bacterial LSU rRNA
Rfam family: Bacterial large subunit ribosomal RNA
Source: RNAcentral